RNAcentral lists this ribosomal RNA (238 nucleotides) under uncultured bacterium. RNAcentral's name for it is "partial 16S ribosomal RNA". It matches the Rfam family "Bacterial small subunit ribosomal RNA", at positions 524 to 761 of the family's 1533-position model. The record is from RNAcentral.
UACGUAGGGGGCAAGCGUUGUCCGGAUUUAUUGGGCGUAAAGAGCGUGUAGGCGGCCAUACAGGUCCGUUGUGAAAACUGGAGGCUUAACCUCCAGACGUCGAUGGAAACCGUAUGGCUAGAGUCCGGAAGAGGAGAGUGGAAUUCCUGGUGUAGCGGUGAAAUGCGCAGAUAUCAGGAAGAACACCCGUGGCGAAGGCGGUCUCUCUGGGACGGUACUGACGCUGAGAGCGAAAGCG